UAUUUCGAAAAUUUCAGAUUGAAAUGUUUUCAGAGAGAGAAGGUGGAGAACAUUUCACGGAGCACCGAACCUUCGAACCUUCGAGCCAGCCACCACAACUCUCGCCGGAUAUCCGCCGCCCGUAGACGUUGUCGUUGCCGUUUUCGCUCCAUCCAGUGCCGUCGUAGUGCCGUCGGUGUCCGUCGUCUUCCACCCAGCCAGGCAGUUCGGAUUGCGGGUCGCCGCAGCUCCGGCGUCGGCAGACGAAUCGAAGACGGCAUCGUCUUCCCUCCGGCCUAGCCAACCAAGGGCGCAUUUUGAGUAUCGAUUCCUCCCACCCGCUUCCUUCCCUGUGCCGGACCCUUGCGGUGGCCGCCGGAGCAUCGCCGGAGUGUCGUCGAAGUGUCGCCGGACCCUUUCAAGGUAUGGUUUAGUGUGGGUUGAAGUUGUGUAGAAGAUUUAGUGCCACCGGUGGAACUAUUCGCGAACCCUAUUCACGAUCCAACUUCAGAACAUGAUAUCUUUGCAAGCUCUUUUCUUGCUUAUUCAAUGUUUGCUUUGAGACUAGAAAUGAACAAAUUAUUUGAGGAUGUGUCUUCGUUUGUAAAUUGCCUUAGUCUUUCUUUGAUGCGAGAGAAGGUCAAACGCAAGAGAGUACAAGCAACAAAAGAAUCUGGUAGCAAACCGCAAGAUGCUAUUAAGCAGAACCAACAAUAGCCAGAUAUGACUGAACUCGCCAAGGGUCUCCCAAGUAAUUGGCAGCAUUCCCAAUUGGAUCCAUCAGACGUCUGAUAGGUGAAAAGUUUACUUGUUUUUGUUGCUUAUAUUGUGUGGCUUUUGAGUAAGUUUUAGUGUUUAUUCUCAUGAAAAGUGUAUAAUUGUUGAUAUAAGUAUAAUUUUGACUGUUUAAAUGUUUUUGAUGCUUUUGUUGUUUAUUUUGAUGUAAAAUAAGGAUUGAAUAUCAUAAAAGACUUGGACCAGGCCUAAUGGACGAUGUUUUGCCGAAAGUUUCGCGCCCGGGCGUGAGAAAAAGGGCUCUGGGCGUGAUUUUACCGAGAGGGUCGCGCCCGGGCGCGAGAUACAAAGGGGCCCCCGGGCGCCACUUAGAAGAAUUGAGACGCUCGUCCAGCGUGCAGAGGACGCUCGUCCAGAGUGAGGACGCUCGUCCAGCGCUCGUCCAACGCUCGUCCAACGCUCGUCCAGGGACGCUCGUCCAGCAGAGGUCGCUCGUCCGGAAGAGGACGCUCGUCAAGAGUGAGGACGCUCGUCCAACGCUCGUCCAGCGCUCGUCCAGCGCUCGUCCAGGGACGCUCGUCUAGCAGAGGUCGCUCGUUCGGCAGAGGACGCUCGUCAAGCAGGGGACGCUCGUCCAGCAGGGGACGCUCGUCCAGAAUAGGAGAGGACGCUCGUCCAGGGACGCUCGUCCAGGGUCGCUCGUCCAGGGACGCUCGUCCAGGGUCGCUCGUCCAGGGUCACAACAACGUCCUUCAUCUGAAACAAACUGAGCUCAAUGCAUUUCUAGAAGGCUUGUAUCCAACGCCAACAAACCGAAUAAACACUUCGUCCAUACCGGUCAUUCCACCGAACCCCAUUGAAGACAACAAAAUAAAGGACAUACUAAGGAAGCUUGUUAAUUCCUCAUGCCAACGUUAUCUUUCUCAACAUUGUAACUCAUCCAUUGCUCCAAGUUAAGGUGCAAAGAAAGACUAAUGUCUAAAGACAAACUUCCUAUAUCAAUGGAAAUUUUCUUUAUUUAGUA
Molecule: long non-coding RNA, 1738 nt
Organism: Vigna angularis (adzuki bean)
Lineage: Eukaryota; Viridiplantae; Streptophyta; Magnoliopsida; Fabales; Fabaceae
Exons: 4
Source: RefSeq, a predicted model, not a curated record